GGGAUUGCCUCAGUAACGGCGAGUGAAGCGGCAACAGCUCAAAUUUGAAAUCUGGCUCUUUCAGGGUCCGAGUUGUAAUUUGUAGAAGAUGCUUUGGGUGUGGCUCCGGUCUAAGUUCCUUGGAACAGGACGUCAUAGAGGGUGAGAAUCCCGUACGUGACUGGGUGCCUUCGCUCGUGUAAAGCUCUUUCGACGAGUCGAGUUGUUUGGGAAUGCAGCUCAAAAUGGGUGGUAAAUUUCAUCUAAAGCUAAAUAUUGGCCAGAGACCGAUAGCGCACAAGUAGAGUGAUCGAAAGAUGAAAAGCACUUUGGAAAGAGAGUUAAACAGUACGUGAAAUUGUUGAAAGGGAAGCGCUUGCAACCAGACUUGCGCGCUGUUGAUCAUCCGAGCUUUUGCCCGGUGCACUCGGCAGCGCUCAGGCCAGCAUCGGUUUUGGUGGGCGGAUAAAGGCCUUGGGAAUGUAGCUCUCUUCGGGGAGUAUUAUAGCCCUCGGUGCAAUGCGCCCUACCGGGACCGAGGACCGCGCUUCGGCUAGGAUGCUGGCGUAAUGGUUGUAAGCGACCCGUCUUGAAACACGGACCAAGGAGUCUAACAUCUAUGCGAGUGUUUGGGUGUCAAACCCAUACGCGUAAUGAAAGUGAACGGAGGUGAGAACCCUUAAGGGUGCAUCAUCGACCGAUCCUGAUGUCUUCGGAUGGAUUUGAGUAAGAGCAUAGCUGUUGGGACCCGAAAGAUGGUGAACUAUGCCUGAAUAGGGUGAAGCCAGAGGAAACUCUGGUGGAGGCUCGCAGCGGUUCUGACGUGCAAAUCGAUCGUCAAAUUUGGGUAUAGGGGCGAAAGACUAAUCGAACCAUUGGUAAA
RNAcentral lists this ribosomal RNA (862 nucleotides) under Helotiales sp. Its description in RNAcentral is "partial large subunit ribosomal RNA". It matches the Rfam family "Eukaryotic large subunit ribosomal RNA", at positions 71 to 950 of the family's 3401-position model. The record is from RNAcentral. Lineage: Eukaryota; Fungi; Ascomycota; Leotiomycetes; Helotiales.